Molecule: unclassified non-coding RNA, 247 nt
Filed under: Glomeraceae sp.
Lineage: Eukaryota; Fungi; Glomeromycota; Glomeromycetes; Glomerales; Glomeraceae
Description: partial contains 5.8S ribosomal RNA and internal transcribed spacer 2
Rfam family: 5.8S ribosomal RNA (bases 1-65)
Source: RNAcentral
GUGAAUCAUCAAAUCUUUGAACGCAAAUUGCACUCUCCUCGGAGAGUAUGCCUGUUUGAGGGUCAGCCUAUAAAAAAUCGACAUUGUUGCUGUUUCGCGGUGGCGUUCGUCGGAAAUUGGGUCAUCUUAAAUCUUUUGGUUUUAAGCGACUUAAAAUUUUCUUUUUGGUUCCAUGACCGUUUCUAAGAUUUAUUUCUUUACACGUUUAUGGAUUUAUUUUUAUUUAGACGUGACAUUCAAAUGGUAU